RNAcentral lists this ribosomal RNA (497 nucleotides) under uncultured bacterium. RNAcentral describes it as "partial 16S ribosomal RNA". It matches the Rfam family "Bacterial small subunit ribosomal RNA", at positions 28 to 507 of the family's 1533-position model. The record is from RNAcentral.
GACGAACGCUGGCGGCGUGCCUAAUACAUGCAAGUAGAACGCUGAAGCGAGGAGCUUACUCUUCUUGGAUGAGUUGCGAACGGGUGAGUAACGCGUAGGUAACCUGCCUUGUAGCGGGGGAUAACUAUUGGAAACGAUAGCUAAUACCGCAUAACAAUGGAUGACACAUGUCAUUUAUUUGAAAGGGGCAAUUGCUCCACUACAAGAUGGACCUGCGUUGUAUUAGCUAGUAGGUGAGGUAAUGGCUCACCUAGGCGAGGAUACAUAGCCGACCUGAGAGGGUGAGCGGCCGACCUGGGAGUGAGACACGGCCCAGACUCCUACGGGAGGCAGCAGGAGGGAAUCGUCGGCAAUGGGGGCAACACUGACCGAGCAACGCCGCGUGAGGGAAGAAGGUUUUCGGAUCGUAAAGCUCGGUUGUAAGUCAAGAACGGGUGUGAGAGUGGAAAGUUCACACUGUGACGGUAGCUUACCAGAAAGGGACGGCUAACUACGUG